Non-coding RNA from Drosophila melanogaster (fruit fly), 459 nucleotides. The record is from Ensembl. NCBI's taxonomy places the organism in Eukaryota, Metazoa, Arthropoda, Insecta, Diptera, Drosophilidae.
CCAACCAAAGGGAAAACUUUUUUCCGACUUUGGCCUAAAGGGUUUAACGGCCAAGUCAGAAGGGAAAAAGUUGCGCCAAAAAUGGCGUUAAAAUGUGUAAUCAGAGAAGCGACACGAAAAGGGGAUCAGCUCUUGGCUGGCAAUUGGUAGGUCAGAGGUGGAUUGGGAAAAGGCAAGUCAGCAACUGUCGAUGACGGCGACUGACUGUUAAUGAAAAUUGUUUUGGCUGUGUGGAAAAAAAUACGCGGGAAUCCGUGAAUUUUCCGAGGAGCUGGUGGAGCGAAGAAAACGGGGUGCUGCUGUUGUAAAUGAUUGGUGAAAGUCACACGCCCGCAGCCUUGCCAAACUAAUUAACGCCAAAUGGAGCUAAGGCCUUUGAAUGAUGGCUGCAGGCUAGCUUAUGAAAAGGGGUUGAAGAGAAGUGGAAAAAUUGGUAGAAAGGGAUUUGCUCAAGAUGCC